AGUGGCGGACGGGUGAGUAACGCGUGAGAAUCUGCCCUUUGGAUGGGGAUAACGACUGGAAACGGUCGCUAAUACCCAAUAUGCCGAGAGGUGAAACUUAUAUGGCCAGAGGAUGAGCUCGCGUCUGAUUAGCUAGUUGGAGUGGUAACGGCACACCAAGGCGACGAUCAGUAGCUGGUCUGAGAGGAUGAUCAGCCACACUGGGACUGAGACACGGCCCAGACUCCUACGGGAGGCAGCAGUGGGGAAUUUUCCGCAAUGGGCGAAAGCCUGACGGAGCAAGACCGCGUGAGGGAGGAAGGCCUACUGGUUGUAAACCUCUUUUGAUAGGGAAGAAGAAAGUGACGAUACCUAUCGAAUCAGCAUCGGCUAACUCCGUGCCAGCAGCCGCGGUAAUACGGAGGAUGCAAGCGUUAUCCGGAAUUAUUGGGCGUAAAGCGUCCGUAGGUGGUUAUUCAAGUCAGCUGUCAAAGGAUGGAGCUUAACUCCAUAAAGGCGGUUGAAACUGUGUAGCUAGAGUGCGAUAGGGGCAAGGGGAAUUCCCAGUGUAGCGGUGAAAUGCGUAGAUAUUGGGAAGAACAUCGGUGGCGAAAGCGCCUUGCUGGGUCUGCACUGACACUGAGGGACGAAAGCUAGGGGAGCGAAAGGGAUUAGAUACCCCUGUAAUCUUAGCUGUAAACGAUGGACACUAGGUGUUG
RNAcentral lists this ribosomal RNA (698 nucleotides) under uncultured Oscillatoriales cyanobacterium. Its description in RNAcentral is "bacterial SSU rRNA". It matches the Rfam family "Bacterial small subunit ribosomal RNA", at positions 94 to 825 of the family's 1533-position model. Lineage: Bacteria; Bacillati; Cyanobacteriota; Cyanophyceae; Oscillatoriales. The record is from RNAcentral.